CCGUGUUUAGCUCAGUUGGUCAGAGCGCUCAGCUUAUACCUAAGUGGUCGGGGGUUCAAGUCCCUCAACACGGA
RNAcentral lists this transfer RNA (74 nucleotides) under Bacteriophage sp. RNAcentral's name for it is "tRNA-Ile". It matches the Rfam family "tRNA". From Rfam's summary of the family: Transfer RNA (tRNA) molecules are approximately 80 nucleotides in length. Their secondary structure includes four short double-helical elements and three loops (D, anti-codon, and T loops). The record is from RNAcentral.